Molecule: ribosomal RNA, 1334 nt
Filed under: metagenome
Description: SSU rRNA
Rfam family: Eukaryotic small subunit ribosomal RNA
Source: RNAcentral
UCUGGUUGAUCCUGCCAGUAGUCAUAUGCUUGUCUCAAAGAUUAAGCCAUGCAUGUCUAAGUAUAAAUAGUAUACAGUGAAACUGCGAAUGGCUAAUUAAAACAGUUAUAGUUUAUUUGAUAAUUGACAAUUACAUGGAUAACCGUGGUAAUUCUAGGGCUAAUACAUGCUUAAACGCCCGACUUUAUGGUAGGGUGGUAUUUAUUAGACUGAAGCCAAUAUUCCUUGUGUCUAUUGCGGUGAUUCAUAAUAACUGAUCGAAUCUCUUUUUUUGAGAUAAAUCAUUCAAGUUUCUGCCCUAUCAGCUUUCGAUGGUAGUGUAUUGGACUACCAUGGCAGUAACGGGUAACGAAGAAUUAGGGUUCGAUUUCGGAGAGGGAGCAUGAGAAACGGCUACCACAUCUAAGGAAGGCAGCAGGCGCGUAAAUUACCCAAUCCUGACUCAGGGAGGUAGUGACAAGAAAUAGCAAACCGGGAACCUCAUGGCUUCACGGUAUUGCAAUGAGAACAAUUUAAAACCCUUAGCGAGAAUCAAGUGGAGGACAAGUCUGGUGCCAGCACCCGCGGUAAUUCCAGCUCCACUAGCGUAUAUUAAAGUUGUUGCAGUUAAAAAGCUCGUAGUUGAACCUCUGUCUGGGGCUAGUUUUGGCUUUGGUCAGGCUAGUUCUAGGCAUCCGCCUACAAGACUUAGAGGGCAUUCAGUUGUUCACUAGGAGGAGUAGGCAUUUUACUUUGGAAAAAUUAGAGUGUUUAAGGCAGGCAAUCGCCCGCAUAUAUUAGCAUGGAAUAAUAGAAUAGGACACUUUUCCAUUUCGUUGGUUAUUGGAAUCGUGUAAUGAUUAAUAGGGACAGUUGUGGGCAUUUGUAUUUAAUUGUCAGAGGUGAAAUUCUUGGAUUUAUUAAAGACAAACUAACGCGAAAGCAUUUGCCAAGGAUGUUUUCAUUAAUCAAGAACGAAAGUUAGGGGAUCAAAGACGAUCAGAUACCGUCCUAGUCUUAACUAUAAACUAUUCCGCCUCAAUGUUUGACUGGCUUAUAUAACCAGUUGAGCGUUGUAUAGAAAUCAAAGUCUUUAGGUUCUGGGGGGAGUAUGGUUGCAAAGCUGAAACUUAAAGGAAUUGACGGAAGAGCACAACCAGGAGUGGAUUCUGCGGCUUAAUUUGACUCAACACGGGGAAACUUACCAGGUUAAAACAAUAGUGGGAUUGACAGUUUGAGAGCGCUUUCUUGAUUGGUUGGGUGGUGGUGCAUGGCCGUUCUUAGUUGGUGGAGUGAUUUGUCUGCUUAAUUGCGUUAACGAACGAGACCUUAACCUGCUUACUAGACUGGCGAUC